RNAcentral lists this non-coding RNA (29 nucleotides) under Cricetulus griseus (Chinese hamster). Lineage: Eukaryota; Metazoa; Chordata; Mammalia; Rodentia; Cricetidae. The record is from RNAcentral.
UGGUCUUGUAAGCUGUGAGUACUGAUAGU